This is a long non-coding RNA of Centruroides sculpturatus (bark scorpion), 478 nucleotides long. RefSeq lists it as uncharacterized. Lineage: Eukaryota; Metazoa; Arthropoda; Arachnida; Scorpiones; Buthidae. The record is from RefSeq and is a predicted model, not a curated record. The transcript is spliced from 3 exons.
UGUACAAUCUGAUGGAAUAGUGUUCGAUUUUAUUAAUGACAAAAUAAAUUGGAUAGAAGACGAAAUGAAGCUUUAUUUAUGAUAUAAUUACAUUAAUUUAAGUUAUUCUGAGGACCCCUCUAUAAUUUUAACGAGUCGAUUGUUUCGUUAUCCUUUAUUGUGUUGUGACGUGUUACCAGAACAUACAAUUAAUAUUUUAAAAUGACGUUAAUCAUCCGGAAUAGCAAAACAAUGGCCAUUAUAAGUACAGCUUAUGCAAAAUUGUAGACAAUGGUUAUGAGCAUUACAUUUAAGUUAAUUGUUUUUCAUAACUUAAGAAGCAAUUUGAGUAAUUCUGUUUAACAAUAAGAAAAUUUGAAGAUAUUCUGUAUAGAAAAUUCGGUAUGAAACGUAUGCAGCUUGCAAUUCAUGUAUUAUUUUAGUGUACAUAAUUUUCUUUCAGGUCUAUUGUCCGAAUAUGAGGAAAUGUAAUUUUAAA